Molecule: long non-coding RNA, 182 nt
Organism: Lates calcarifer (barramundi perch)
Lineage: Eukaryota; Metazoa; Chordata; Actinopteri; Centropomidae
Exons: 2
Source: RefSeq, a predicted model, not a curated record
CUUUGACCUGAAGCAGCACCUCCUUCUUCAUCAGGAUGUUUCCCUCCCUGCUGUAGACGGUGCAGGUGUAGGUGUCUGUGUCCCAGUCUGUGGGGUAUUUCAGGGUCAGACUGAGGUCUCCAGUUCUCAGCAGGUCUUCAUUCAUCUCUGUUCGGUCUCUGUAAACCUGGUUCUGUUCUUCA